This 788-nucleotide ribosomal RNA is filed under the name uncultured Planctomycetota bacterium. RNAcentral's name for it is "bacterial SSU rRNA". It matches the Rfam family "Bacterial small subunit ribosomal RNA", at positions 8 to 773 of the family's 1533-position model. The record is from RNAcentral. Lineage: Bacteria; Pseudomonadati; Planctomycetota.
AUAGUUUGAUUAUGGCUCAGAACGAACGUUGGCGGCGUGGAUUAGGCAUGCAAGUCGAACGGGAAAGUGCCUUCGGGCAUGAGUAGAGUGGCGAACGGGUGAGUAACGCGUGGGAAACCUGCCUUUGAGCGGGGGAUAACACCUCUAACGGGGUGCUAAUACCGCAUAACACCGGAGAGUCGCAUGGCUCUCUGGUCAAAGCUGGCCUCUGUUUCAAGCUAGCACUCAAAGAUGGUCCCGCGUCCGAUUAGCUUGUUGGUGGGGUAACGGCCUACCAAGGCUUCUAUCGGUAGCUGGUCUGAGAGGAUGGUCAGCCACACUGGGACUGAGAUACGGCCCAGACUCCUACGGGAGGCAGCAGUCGAGAGGCUUCGGCAAUGGGGGAAACCCUGACCGAGCGACGCCGCGUGAGGGAUGACGCCCUUCGGGGUGUAAACCUCUUUUCUGGGGGAAGAACCGUACCGAGAUUAAUAUGCUCGGUGCCUGACGGUACCCCAGGAAUAAGCUCCGGCUAACUCCGUGCCAGCAGCCGCGGUAAUACGGGGGGAGCAAACGUUGUUCGGAAUCACUGGGCGUAAAGGGCGCGUAGGCGGCCCGGCAAGUGGUGUGUGAAAGCCCCUGGCUCAACCAGGGAACUGCGCUCCAAACUGCCGGGCUUGAGGGCAGUAGAGGAAACUGGAAUUCCUGGUGUAGCGGUGAAAUGCGUAGAUAUCAGGAGGAACACCGUUGGCGAAGGCGAGUUUCUGGGCUGUCCCUGACGCUGAUGCGCGAAAGCUGGGGGAGCAAAC